UACGGAGGGUGCGAGCGUUGUCCGGAUUCAUUGGGUUUAAAGGGUACGUAGGCGGUGUAUUAAGUCAGUGGUGAAAUGUUCCGGCUCAACCGGGAAAGUGCCAUUGAUACUGGUGCACUUGAGUACUGUAGAGGCAGGUGGAAUUGGUGGUGUAGCGGUGAAAUGCAUAGAUACCACCAGGAACACCGAAUGCGAAGGCAGCCUGCUGGGCAGUAACUGACGCUGAGGUACGAAAGCGUGGGGAGCGAACAGG
Molecule: ribosomal RNA, 253 nt
Filed under: uncultured bacterium
Lineage: Bacteria
Description: partial 16S ribosomal RNA
Rfam family: Bacterial small subunit ribosomal RNA
Source: RNAcentral